This 531-nucleotide long non-coding RNA is filed under the name Nicotiana benthamiana. RNAcentral's name for it is "long non-coding RNA (NBEN_LNC029131)". The record is from RNAcentral. Lineage: Eukaryota; Viridiplantae; Streptophyta; Magnoliopsida; Solanales; Solanaceae.
CAAGGCAACCUCAGACUCUAAAAAGUGUGUUAGUACAUACGAAGAGAUUUUGCUGAGGGGACAAGUUAUCAAGACUAAAUACUGAUGGAAGCUAUUACUUCUGACAAUCUAAAGCAAACUAGGAGGAACAGAAAUUACCAUGAGUUUGUUGAAUUUUUCUUGUCGCUCGCGAUCACCAAAUAGCGAUGUAUCCCAACGAUGAGUGGACUACAAGACUAAAUACUGAGGGAAACUAUUACUUCUAACAAUCUAAAGCAAAUAAAAGGAACAGAAAUUACCAUGAGUUUGUUGAAUUUUUCUUGUCGCUCGCGAUCACCAAAUAGUGAUGUGUCCCAAUGAUGAGUGGACUACAUAUUCGACCAUCAAUUGAACAUACAAAGACCAAGAGAGUGAAUAACAUUGAGCAUAGGAUAGAGAGAUUUAACAAGCUAGCAAUAAACAUCUAUUGAUGCAGCAGUCAAAAUCAAGUUGCUCUGAUUAAAGCAUGAGCAACCUAAUAAUCAGGCUGAUGUCAGCAAAAGCGAUCAAAUG